This is a long non-coding RNA of Balaenoptera musculus (blue whale), 1587 nucleotides long. Lineage: Eukaryota; Metazoa; Chordata; Mammalia; Artiodactyla; Balaenopteridae. The record is from Ensembl.
UGAGUGGCCGCCGGCAACGGCCAGCGCCCGGGCUGCAGCCUCGCAUCUUUCUGGCAAGUGGCAGGUAGUCCCAGUAACUGGCCCCGGGGCUGAAGGGGCCGCGCUCGCCCGGCUGAGACCCCCAGUGGUGAUGAUGGUGUUGGGAGACCCAGCGUGCGCUUCCCCCUUGAGUUCCUGGAUUCAUUCCCUGAUCUUGACUCAAAAGCACCUACAACAGCAAAACUUUUGUAAUAACAAACUUAACAUUUGCAUGUAUGGAGAACUGGAAAUCAUUUAUUUCCCUAACUUAUUCCCCUUUCAAAUAACAGAUGUCGGAUCCUAAACCGAAGUUCUUUAUUGUAUCUACACAGCCCACAUUCUUUACUGUGUCCUCCUACUGUAUCUUGGCUCUCUGCUGUAUUAAAUACCAUCCUAAGCAUCUGUUCGAACAGGACUCCUUCUUGACAUUUUGUCUUCUACCUGUCACUCAGAGGGUGGGACUUUAGCAAAAGAAAUGAAUGGUCUCUCACACCUAAUACUGAGAUUUAUUUCCUCUGAUGGCACAUAAUCUGAUUUUGCUCUUACUAAGAGGGUCACUAUAACAGAGGCUUAGCUUGAUACUUGCUGAGACUAGAUUAGCAAUAAAAAUAAGAGUUUGGCAGCCAAAGUAGCACUCAUCACUAUAUUGGUCUAUUAAGGAUUGGGUUGAUGAUGAUACUUCUACAAAUUCACAAUAGAAAAACACUAGUUACAAAGGGAACUUGAAAGAUCUGUAUAUUACUUAUAUUACUCCUGAAAUAUUUGUUAUCUGUUGGUCAAUGUUAAUAAUAACCAGUGGCAGAAUAAUUCUAAUUGUAGUGCAGUAUAUGAAGAGGCUAUUGUCAAGAUACUGUCUAAUAGUUUUAUACUGGAAAACGUGUCUAUUUUUAGGACGUUCUCAAUGGGAAUGACACCAAGAAGGUGGAAGGUCUCUUGGAAGAUGGUACCGGUAGACUUGAUUUUUAUUAUGAGUAGAUAUAAUAUCUUUGGAUGUUAUCAGAGUUAUAGAAACUAAGCCAAAAGCCUCCUGAUGUUUUAAUAGAAGUCAGGGAUUUAGUCUGGGUUUUCGUUAUCCUCAAGAGAACAGAGCUUCAUAGUAACUUUCAUGAUGUUGAGUGUGGCCUUGCUGGUGGUCGGUCCCAUCAGUGAUGUGGUGUAGAAGAAAACUAUCCACAGACCCCCCAUUCUUUCUCACUUUCAGAAGGUGAUUCUGAAAAGCAAACUACUAAAAAAAAGAUGAAUAUUUUUACUUCAAGGAGUGCUUUGCUACACAUUUGGUAAUUAAGAAAAAAAAGGAGGUGGAAUGGGGAGAAGGGAGGCAAGGCUUACUUUAAACAAAACCAGUCCUGAAACACUGUUAUUCUCAAAGUAUAUCUUUGUAUAUAAAAAAAAAAUUCUGUAGAAGUUACAUGUAUUGCAUUUCUUUUUUAAAAAAUUAAAAGUAUAUUAAUGAGCCAAAUAGAUACAAAGUUCCUCAGUAUUUAAAAAUUUAAAUGCCUGUCAUGACUGUAUUUUAUUAAAUGAAGCAGUACCAUCAAGUCACUGAAAGUUAUAAAACACUUGUGCCAG